This 497-nucleotide ribosomal RNA is filed under the name uncultured bacterium. RNAcentral describes it as "partial 16S ribosomal RNA". It matches the Rfam family "Bacterial small subunit ribosomal RNA", at positions 28 to 507 of the family's 1533-position model. The record is from RNAcentral.
GAUGAACGCUGGCGGCGUGCCUAAUACAUGCAAGUCGAGCGAACGGACGAGAAGCUUGCUUCUCUGAUGUUAGCGGCGGACGGGUGAGUAACACGUGGAUAACCUACCUAUAAGACUGGGAUAACUUCGGGAAACCGUAGCUAAUACCGGAUAAUAUUUUGAACCGCAUGGUUCAAAAGUGAAAGACGGUCUUGCUGUCACUUAUAGAUGGAUCCGCGCUGCAUUAGCUAGUUGGUAAGGUAACGGCUUACCAAGGCAACGAUGCAUAGCCGACCUGAGAGGGUGAUCGGCCACACUGGAACUGAGACACGGUCCAGACUCCUACGGGAGGCAGCAGUAGGGAAUCUUCCGCAAUGGGCGAAAGCCUGACGGAGCAACGCCGCGUGAGUGAUGAAGGUCUUCGGAUCGUAAAACUCUGUUAUUAGUGAAGAACAUAUGUGUAAGUAACUGUGCACAUCUUGACGGUACCUAAUCAGAAAGCCACGGCUAACUACGUG